Long non-coding RNA from Diprion similis, 1626 nucleotides. RefSeq lists it as uncharacterized. The transcript has 2 exons. The record is from RefSeq and is a predicted model, not a curated record. NCBI's taxonomy places the organism in Eukaryota, Metazoa, Arthropoda, Insecta, Hymenoptera, Diprionidae.
CUUCGGUUAAAUUGUGUAAAGGUUAGUUUCUUCUUGCAAUUUUUUUUCUAUAUAUACGUUUAAAUUUAGCCUUGCGUCACAUCGCAAGCUGUUUAUAACUUUUCAUUCGUUCCGCAGAUGAAUUAAUAAAUAUCAGUCCUGGAGAUGACUCAAAUCCAGAGUCGAAACGUUGACAUCAAAUUGGUUGUUGUUAAUUAAAAGACCUACAUAUCCAAGAAUUCAUUUUACAUUAAUACAAGGAGGUCAAGACUAUUUUAUAUAUAUUGAACAAUGCAGUAGCAGAAACUCAACAUUUUGUUAAAACGUGAAUGUUUAAGUUCAUUCAAAAAUCCGCCAUUUAUAUAUUUAAUUUCCAACAGUAGUGUAUAAUACGUAUAGGUAUAUUGCUGGAAUUUAGAAGCUCAGAGAUUUAUUUGAGAAAAUUUGUAUGCGUGUAAAUAAUUAUACUUUAAAGUACGGAGAAAUCGGGUGAGUAACGAUUCGGAGUCCGAUCUUACAUAUAAAUAUUAUUAAACAUAUAAUAUUAUAUUCUUGUACAAAUUGACCUGAUGACGUAUACGCAGAAUGUUAACGCAGAGUUUUAGGUUUCAUCGCGAGUCGACAGGUCUCAGAAAAUAUACCAUUGUAACAACAUUUGCGAAUAGUUAUACUAUAAAUAGUUAUAGUUACGCCAUGUACAUCUAAUAAUUACUUUACUGCCACCACAAGAAAAAUUCUCUGUACCUGAUCCGACGUGAUAUAAAAUUCAUGUUAACAAAUCGUAACCUGAUUGUUGUUUAUUUAAAAUUAGACUCUUAAAAAAGAUCGAUUAAAAUAGUCAGUAGAUCGGAGAUUAUCGAUGCCACGGAUCAGACUGAUAGGCGCCACACUAAGAGCAACCAAGGAUGCAUGCCGAUGCGCAGAGUGCCAAAGCCGCAAGUCCACGGACAUUCAUAUGCGCGCUUUGCGCAGCCGCAGUUCUGUCCACAAGAAAUUGAUUCUGUUUCAUUCAGCUUGUUGUUAGAUGUAGAUUUAAAAAUUGAUUCACUUUGUACUCAUUCUAACACCAUCGAUGACAUUUCAAGUUCAUUCAUGUUCGUUCCAUUCGAAGAUUUCUCUUCUCGAUUUCAUAGUAUUCGUUCAUACCGUUUUGACAAUUUUGCCAUCAAACGAAAAAUAACGCAAAAUGGCAAAAACUAGAAGUCAAUUAUAUUUAAAAAAUCACUAUUUUAAAUUAUAAUUUCAUUACGAAGGGAUUAAAUACCGAUCACGAGUGAAUAACGCCGUAGUUCAUUUGAUGAUGACAUGUAUAGGCCUUUAUAAGCAGAACACUUCAUUUAGCAUACAGCUAGAUACAUAGGUAUAUAUUAUAUUAUAUAUAUUAUAUAAUUUAUAUAUAUAUAUAUAUAUAUAUUUAUAUAAGACAGGACCCGCUAAUACAUAUAUAUGAAUUGACACGAAGAAUUCAUUAUAAUUCUUAUCUAUGGUUGAUAAUACUGACAAAAACCAAGGCUAUGAAUACUAACUGCAGGUUCAUCAAAGAAUCUUUGCGUAACGUUGAAUGCAGGAAUGUAAUGUUAUUCUUUAAACGAUCAGUCAUUACACAUGCAGCUUACUCAAAUCCAUCAGGAAAGAUUUUGGUGUGAU